This 694-nucleotide ribosomal RNA is filed under the name Streptomyces sp. Its description in RNAcentral is "bacterial SSU rRNA". It matches the Rfam family "Bacterial small subunit ribosomal RNA", at positions 75 to 784 of the family's 1533-position model. Lineage: Bacteria; Bacillati; Actinomycetota; Actinomycetes; Kitasatosporales; Streptomycetaceae. The record is from RNAcentral.
CCACUUCGGUGGGGAUUAGUGGCGAACGGGUGAGUAACACGUGGGCAAUCUGCCCUGCACUCUGGGACAAGCCCUGGAAACGGGGUCUAAUACCGGAUACUGACCACCGCGGGCAUCUGUGGUGGUCGAAAGCUCCGGCGGUGCAGGAUGAGCCCGCGGCCUAUCAGCUUGUUGGUGAGGUAACGGCUCACCAAGGCGACGACGGGUAGCCGGCCUGAGAGGGCGACCGGCCACACUGGGACUGAGACACGGCCCAGACUCCUACGGGAGGCAGCAGUGGGGAAUAUUGCACAAUGGGCGCAAGCCUGAUGCAGCGACGCCGCGUGAGGGAUGACGGCCUUCGGGUUGUAAACCUCUUUCAGCAGGGAAGAAGCGAAAGUGACGGUACCUGCAGAAGAAGCGCCGGCUAACUACGUGCCAGCAGCCGCGGUAAUACGUAGGGCGCGAGCGUUGUCCGGAAUUAUUGGGCGUAAAGAGCUCGUAGGCGGCUUGUCGCGUCGGUUGUGAAAGCCCGGGGCUUAACCCCGGGUCUGCAGUCGAUACGGGCAGGCUAGAGUUCGGUAGGGGAGAUCGGAAUUCCUGGUGUAGCGGUGAAAUGCGCAGAUAUCAGGAGGAACACCGGUGGCGAAGGCGGAUCUCUGGGCCGAUACUGACGCUGAGGAGCGAAAGCGUGGGGAGCGAACAGGAUUAGAUA